AGAUGUUUAACAUAUUUGAACAUAACUGAUUCAUAAAGGUAUUUUGGUGCUGAGCUUUCCUCCUGUGCCUGCUGGACAAGUCUGCACCCUGCAUCCUGCAGAGAAGCAGAAGCAUGCAUAUGCAGCCACAAGAUUUGCCACUCUCUUGAGGAUCAAGGCGGGAGCGUGACCGCGGAGCAGGAGAGGGCAAAGAUUAAAACACAUAUCAGCCCGGGCGCAGCGGCUCACGCCUGUAAUCCCAGAACUUUGGGAGGCCGAGGCGGGUGGAUCACCUGAGGUCAGGAGUUCAAGACCAGCUUAGCCAACAUGAUGAAACUCCAUCUCUACAAAAAUACAAAAAUUAGCCAGGUGCGGUGGCAGAUGCCUGUAAUCCCAGCUACUCGGGAGGCUGAGGCAGGAGAAUCGCUUGAACCUGGGAGGCAGAUGGUGCAGUGAGCUGAGAUCACGCCAUUGCACUCCAGCCUGGGCGACAAGAAUGAGACUCCGUCUCAAAAAAAAAAACAAAAAAAACCCCACACAUAUCAAAAGUUCCUGUAAUCAUUUACAUCAUGGUUCUAAUAAACUUGAAUUUUAUCUGUGCUUAUCCUACAGAAUAUUCUGACAUGCUAUUUCUGCAGCUAAGUUUUGCCUUUUAUUGUAGAAAAUAAAAUACAAUUUUUCGACCUGACUGGUUUCUGAAUGUAUGACUCUGGGAAAUGUCAAAUGUCUUUCUUUAGCUCCAGUCAAAUUAGUUUUUUUUUUUCCCCCCUAAGCUGCCUGGAACAUGUUAAAUACAAGGCUGUGACCUUCAACUCUGAAAUAAUAUUUCUAGUGUCUGUGCAAAAGCCUGCCCUCACAUACACCUUUAGACUAAUUACUGCAGUGUAAUG
Molecule: long non-coding RNA, 869 nt
Filed under: Homo sapiens (human)
Lineage: Eukaryota; Metazoa; Chordata; Mammalia; Primates; Hominidae
Description: HSALNT0102337
Source: RNAcentral